Molecule: ribosomal RNA, 473 nt
Filed under: uncultured bacterium
Lineage: Bacteria
Description: partial 16S ribosomal RNA
Rfam family: Bacterial small subunit ribosomal RNA
Source: RNAcentral
AAUGAACGUUGGCGGCAUGGAUUGGGCAUGCAAGUCGAGCGGGCGUAGCAAUAUGUCAGCGGCGUAAGGGACAGGAACACGUAGAUUACCUGCCCUCGGGUCUGGGAUAGCCACGGGAAACUGUGGGUAAUACCAGAUGAUAUCUCCGGAUCAAAGGUGUGAUUCCGCCCGAGGAUGGGUCUGCGUCCUAUUAGCUAGUUGGUGAGGUAAUGGCUCACCAAGGCGAUGAUGGGUAGCAGGUGUGAGAGCACGACCUGCGUCAUCGGGACUGAGACACUGCCCAGACACCUACGGGUGGCUGCAGUCGAGAAUUUUUGGCAAUGGGCGAAAGCCUGACCAAGCGAUGCCGCGUGCGGGAUGAAGGCCUUCGGGUUGUAAACCGCUGUCAGUGGGGAGGAAAGCUUUGUGAAGAGCAAGGCUUGACCUAUCCGCAGAGGAAGUGUGGGCUAAGUUCGUGCCAGCCGCCGCGGUAA